This 279-nucleotide ribosomal RNA is filed under the name uncultured bacterium. Its description in RNAcentral is "partial 16S ribosomal RNA". It matches the Rfam family "Bacterial small subunit ribosomal RNA", at positions 506 to 784 of the family's 1533-position model. The record is from RNAcentral.
UGCCAGCCGCCGCGGUAAGACGGAGGAUGCAAGCGUUAAUCGGAAUUACUGGGCGUAAAGCGCACGUAGGCGGUGUGCAUAGUCAGAGGUGAAAGCCCGGGGCUCAACCCCGGAACUGCCUUUGAUACUUGCAUGCUAGAAUCUGUGAGGGGGUAGUGGAAUUCCUAGUGUAGAGGUGAAAUUCGUAGAUAUUAGGAAGAACACCAGUGGCGAAGGCGACUACCUGGCACAGUAUUGACGCUGAUGUGCGAAAGCGUGGGGAGCGAACAGGAUUAGAUA